RNAcentral lists this transfer RNA (90 nucleotides) under Bacteroidota bacterium. RNAcentral's name for it is "Bacteroidetes bacterium (sediment metagenome) tRNA-Ser". It matches the Rfam family "tRNA". From Rfam's summary of the family: Transfer RNA (tRNA) molecules are approximately 80 nucleotides in length. Their secondary structure includes four short double-helical elements and three loops (D, anti-codon, and T loops). Lineage: Bacteria; Pseudomonadati; Bacteroidota. The record is from RNAcentral.
GGAGGGGUGCCGGAGUGGUCGAACGGGCCUGACUCGAAAUCAGGUAACCCGCUACAAGCGGGUUCGGGGGUUCGAAUCCCCCCCCCUCCG